This 72-nucleotide transfer RNA is filed under the name Ovis aries (sheep). It matches the Rfam family "tRNA". From Rfam's summary of the family: Transfer RNA (tRNA) molecules are approximately 80 nucleotides in length. Lineage: Eukaryota; Metazoa; Chordata; Mammalia; Artiodactyla; Bovidae. The record is from Rfam by way of RNAcentral.
UCCCUGGUGGCUCAGAUGGUAAAGCGUCUGCCUGCAAUGCGGGAGACCUGGGGUCAAUUCCUGGGUCGGGAA